UGGGGAAUUUUGGACAAUGGGGGAAACCCUGAUCCAGCCAUCCCGCGUGUGCGAUGAAGGCCUUCGGGUUGUAAAGCACUUUUGGCAGGAAAGAAACGUCGCGGGUUAAUACCCCGCGAAACUGACGGUACCUGCAGAAUAAGCACCGGCUAACUACGUGCCAGCAGCCGCGGUAAUACGUAGGGUGCAAGCGUUAAUCGGAAUUACUGGGCGUAAAGCGUGCGCAGGCGGUUCGGAAAGAAAGAUGUGAAAUCCCAGAGCUUAACUUUGGAACUGCAUUUUUAACUACCGGGCUAGAGUGUGUCAGAGGGAGGUGGAAUUCCGCGUGUAGCAGUGAAAUGCGUAGAUAUGCGGAGGAACACCGAUGGCGAAGGCAGCCUCCUGGGAUAACACUGACGCUCAUGCACGAAAGCGUGGGGAGCAAACAGGAUUAGAUACCCUGGUAGUCCACGCCCUAAACGAUGUCAACUAGCUGUUGGGGCCUUCGGGCCUUGGUAGCGCAGCUAACGCGUGAAGUUGACCGCCUGGGGAGUACGGUCGCAAGAUUAAAACUUAAAUGAAUUGACGGGGGUCAUAGCUGUUUCCU
RNAcentral lists this ribosomal RNA (586 nucleotides) under uncultured bacterium. RNAcentral's name for it is "partial 16S ribosomal RNA". It matches the Rfam family "Bacterial small subunit ribosomal RNA", at positions 355 to 938 of the family's 1533-position model. The record is from RNAcentral.